Xyrichtys novacula (pearly razorfish) is the source of this 878-nucleotide non-coding RNA. NCBI's taxonomy places the organism in Eukaryota, Metazoa, Chordata, Actinopteri, Labriformes, Labridae. The record is from the annotation of a GenBank genome assembly.
CUCCAGUCGGUAGAGUCCUACAUGCUGUUGAUUCUCCCAUUUGAACCAUUCUAAUGUGAUGUCUUUUGCUGUUUUUUUUUUAAAUUAUUAUUUUUAUUUAUUUAUUUCUGAGAGCUUUUCCAGGCAACUUAGACGCUAAUUUUGGCUUUUUGGUUUUGUCCCUCAGUGUGUUUCUGCUGCUUCAUGGAAGUUUUCUGAGAGGACUUGAGCGGACAGCCUUCAGCCUUUUUUCAUUUGUCAAGUUCCUGUGUUUUUCUUGUAUUUUGCAAACUCCCAUUUAAAUCUAAGCUAUAUAACAAUCUGUCAGACAAAGGCUUCAGGAAUGAAUGCCUUCUGUUAAGUGCUGUCAGUUGUAAUGUUUCCUGCCAAUGAUCACAUUUUUUGCUGAUGUUGAUCUUAGUAAUCAUAGCUAGUCAUUGUUGACCAUGAUUUCUGCACUUGGCUUUUUAAAAUCCUUAUUUUCACUUUGGUUUGUGUCACCACCAGCUCUACCUCCUAUAGUCUUACUCUUUAAUGGAUCAAGAUUUAUAUCCUGAUUUUGGUACCCUAGCUUGCCUCUCAUUUCAGAUCCUCAACCUCCUGUCCUUGUGUGUUUCUUGCCUGUUUGAUUGUCUGUCAUGCUCCAACUGUUUCUGGCUGCCCCUCACUUUAUUGUUCAAUAGUGCUCUUGUGACUCCUGUCUUUGGUGGUUCUGUGGUCAAUACACCUUGCUAGUCUUCACUGCUAUUUCAACAAUCAGAUCAUGUGCUCAUUUAUCUCCAUUAUUAUCUUCAGUUAAUUUUCUAUUAUUACCUGCACACUAGAAGCCUGCAUGCCUAUUUGAUGGUCUGCUGAGGUCAGAAUCAGAAUGCAGAAUUCAUUCAGAAUGCCUUUUAUUG